GCGCCUCUAGCUCAAUGGUAGAGCUACAGCCUUUUAAGCUGCAGGUUCCGGGUUCGAGCCCCGGGGGGCGUA
This 72-nucleotide transfer RNA is filed under the name Candidatus Nutricula glyptotermitis. RNAcentral describes it as "tRNA-Lys". It matches the Rfam family "tRNA". Rfam says of the family: Transfer RNA (tRNA) molecules are approximately 80 nucleotides in length. Their secondary structure includes four short double-helical elements and three loops (D, anti-codon, and T loops). The record is from RNAcentral. Lineage: Bacteria; Bacillati; Actinomycetota; Actinomycetes; Bifidobacteriales; Bifidobacteriaceae.